UAUAAUAUUUUAAAGAAACAAGAAGCCUUAAAAGUUCCUACUCUGAAAUACUUUGAAGAUGAUCAAACUGAGGCUUACAUGGGUUGUUUUGCAGAACAGGGAUUAGAAGUUAGUUCUUAUUUAUCUGUGGAGCACUUUUUCCACUCCAGUUUUUUUUAAUGUACUAAUAAAUAAUGUGUUCUAGAACCUGCUUUAUGAUUAACUCCUACAACUUUAUGAUUAACUGCUCUUUCCUCUGAUUUCUAAGACCUUUGCUUAUGGAAAAUGCAGUCUCAAAAGGACAGUCUGAUACUUCCCAGAGGUUGGCCUGAGACAUCUGGUACUUAGGAGAGACUGGUUAAUAACAGGCAGAGUUACAGAGAGAGGUAGAGACAGAGAGAGAGGUCUUCCAUCUGCUGGUUCACUCCCCAGAUGGCCGCAACAGCUGGAGCUGCACCACUCUGAAGCCAGGAGCCAGGAGCUUCUUCCGGGUCUCCCAUGUGGGUGCUGGGACCCAAGGACUCGGGCCGUCUUCCACUGCUAUCUCAGGGCAUAGCCGAGAGCUGGAUCAGAAGAGGAGAAGAAGCCAGGACUCAAACUGGCACCCAUAUGGGAUACCGGCGCUUCAGGCCAGGGCGUUAACCUACUGUGCCACAGCACCGGCCCCUAAAGUCUUUUUCUAGUACGUCUGAUGCCUAUGUUUCUUCAGGUAUUGUUUCUGCAAAUUUAUUUUAAAAAUUAUUUUUAUUUGAGGGGCAGAGACAUAGGAUUACACACAUACACACACAGAGAGACAUAUAUACACAGAGAGAGUGAGUGAGAGAGAGCUCCCAUCCUCUAGUUCACUCUCCAGAUGCCUGCAGUGACAGUUGCCUAGAGCCAAGCCAGGAGCUGGGAACUCAAUCUAGGUCUCCCACGUUGGUGAUGGCAACCCAAUUACUUGAGCCAUUAUUGCUAUCUCCCAGAGUUCACAUUAGCUGGUAGUUGGAACCAGGAGUUGGAGCUGGAGCUGGAACUUGAAAUUGGACACUGAUAUUGGACAUAGGCAUCUUAAUGGGUAGGCCAAAUAGCUUCUCCUAUCAUUAUCAUUGAAUGGUAAUCCUUGUUCCUUUGUAUACAUUGUGGAGUUUUUUGUUGUUCACAGUGGGCCAAGUAGACAUUUGAUGAAACAACCACCUCUUCUGUUUACUGCAGGCUGGCUCUUUGCUGGAGAAGUCCUUCCCUAAUUAUCUUGGCUUUGUUUCUCAAUUUUGGGAUCAACCCAAAGAGAAGCUAAAGAUCUUCUCAAAGCAUACAUCUUACUUGGGCUCAUAUUUGACAUUUUUGAAUUCCUGUAAACAUAGCUGCUUCUAACUAAUUAUCUUCUUGGUGUCUUGAACAUCUUUUGAAUUUUUUUAACUUUUAUUUAAUGAAUAUAAAUUUCCAAAGUACAGCUUAUGGAUUACAAUGGCUUACCCCUAUAAUGUCCCUCCCUCCGCAACCCUCCCCUUUCCCGCUCCCUCUCCCCUUCAUUCACAUCAAGAUUCGUUUUCAAUUCUCUUUAUAUACAGAAGAUCAGUUUAGCAUACAUUAAGUAAAGAUUUCAACAGUUUGCUCCCACACAGAAACAUAAAGUGAAAAAUACUGUUUGAGUACUAGUUAUAGCAUUAAAUCUCAAUGUACAGCACACUAAGGACAGAGAUCCUACAUGAGGAGUAAGUGCACAGUGACUCCUGUUGUUGACUUAACAAAUUGAUACUCUUGUUUAUGGCAUCAGUAAUCACCCUAGGCUCUUGUCAUGAGUUGCCAAGGCUAUGGAAGCCCCCUGAGUUCACCGACUCUGAUCAUAUUUAGACAAGGCCAUGGUCAAAGUGGAAGUUGUCUCCUCCCUUCAGAGAAAGGUACCUCCUUCUUUGAUGACCUAUUCUUUCCACUGGGAUCUCACUCGCAGAGAUCUUUCAUUUAGGUUGUGUGUUUUUUUUUUUUUUUUUUUUUUUUUUUUCCCCAGAGUGUCUUGGCUUUCCAUGCCUGAAAUACUCUCAUGGGCUUUUCAGCCGGAUCUGCAUGCCUUAAGGGCUGAUUCUGAGGCCAGAGUGCUGUUUAGGACAUCUGCCAUUCUAUGGGUCUGCUGUGUAUCUCACUUCCCAUGUUGGAUCGUUCUCUCCCUUUUUUAUUCUAUCAGCUAGUAUUU
Molecule: non-coding RNA, 2149 nt
Organism: Oryctolagus cuniculus (rabbit)
Lineage: Eukaryota; Metazoa; Chordata; Mammalia; Lagomorpha; Leporidae
Source: RefSeq, a predicted model, not a curated record